UGGGGAAUAUUGGACAAUGGGGGCAACCCUGAUCCAGCAAUGCCGCGUGUGUGAAGAAGGUCUUCGGAUUGUAAAGCACUUUCGACGGGGACGAUGAUGACGGUACCCGUAGAAGAAGCCCCGGCUAACUUCGUGCCAGCAGCCGCGGUAAUACGAAGGGGGCUAGCGUUGCUCGGAAUGACUGGGCGUAAAGGGCGUGUAGGCGGUUUACACAGUCAGAUGUGAAAUCCCCGGGCUUAACCUGGGAGCUGCAUUUGAUACGUGUAGACUAGAGUGUGAGAGAGGGUUGUGGAAUUCCCAGUGUAGAGGUGAAAUUCGUAGAUAUUGGGAAGAACACCGGUGGCGAAGGCGGCAACCUGGCUCAUUACUGACGCUGAGGCGCGAAAGCGUGGGGAGCAAACAGGAUUAGAUACCCUGGUAGUCCACGCUGUAAACGAUGUGUGCUAGAUGUUGGGUAACUUUGUUAUUCAGUGUCGCAGUUAACGCGUUAAGCACACCGCCU
RNAcentral lists this ribosomal RNA (502 nucleotides) under uncultured bacterium. RNAcentral describes it as "partial 16S ribosomal RNA". It matches the Rfam family "Bacterial small subunit ribosomal RNA", at positions 355 to 874 of the family's 1533-position model. The record is from RNAcentral.